UGCCAGCCGCCGCGGUAAUACGGAGGGGGUUAGCGUUGUUCGGUAUCACUGGGCUUAAAGGGCGCGUAGGCGGUGCGGUACGGUUCGGGUGAAAUCCCACGGCUCAACCGUGGAACUGCCCGAGCAACGGCCGUGCUUGACGGCAUCAGGGGGAGGUGGAACUCCGGGUGGAGCGGUGAAAUGCGUAGAUAUCCGGAGGAACGCCGGUGGCGAAAGCGACCUCCUGGGGUGCUCGUGACGCUGAGGCGCGAAGGCGUGGGUAGCGAACGGGAUUAGAUA
This 279-nucleotide ribosomal RNA is filed under the name uncultured bacterium. RNAcentral describes it as "partial 16S ribosomal RNA". It matches the Rfam family "Bacterial small subunit ribosomal RNA", at positions 506 to 784 of the family's 1533-position model. The record is from RNAcentral.